Molecule: ribosomal RNA, 2920 nt
Filed under: Bacillus cereus VD200
Lineage: Bacteria; Bacillati; Bacillota; Bacilli; Caryophanales; Bacillaceae
Description: bacterial LSU rRNA
Rfam family: Bacterial large subunit ribosomal RNA
Source: RNAcentral
UUAAGUUAGAAAGGGCGCACGGUGGAUGCCUUGACACUAGGAGUCGAUGAAGGACGGGACUAACGCCGAUAUGCUUCGGGGAGCUGUAAGUAAGCUUUGAUCCGAAGAUUUCCGAAUGGGGAAACCCACCAUACGUAAUGGUAUGGUAUCCUUAUCUGAAUACAUAGGAUAAGGAAGACAGACCCAGGGAACUGAAACAUCUAAGUACCUGGAGGAAGAGAAAGCAAAUGCGAUUUCCUGAGUAGCGGCGAGCGAAACGGAACAUAGCCCAAACCAAGAGGCUUGCCUCUUGGGGUUGUAGGACAUUCUAUACGGAGUUACAAAGGAACGAGGUAGACGAAGCGACCUGGAAAGGUCCGUCGUAGAGGGUAACAACCCCGUAGUCGAAACUUCGUUCUCUCUUGAAUGUAUCCUGAGUACGGCGGAACACGUGAAAUUCCGUCGGAAUCUGGGAGGACCAUCUCCCAAGGCUAAAUACUCCCUAGUGAUCGAUAGUGAACCAGUACCGUGAGGGAAAGGUGAAAAGCACCCCGGAAGGGGAGUGAAAGAGAUCCUGAAACCGUGUGCCUACAAAUAGUCAGAGCCCGUUAAUGGGUGAUGGCGUGCCUUUUGUAGAAUGAACCGGCGAGUUACGAUCCCGUGCGAGGUUAAGCUGAAGAGGCGGAGCCGCAGCGAAAGCGAGUCUGAAUAGGGCGUUUAGUACGUGGUCGUAGACCCGAAACCAGGUGAUCUACCCAUGUCCAGGGUGAAGUUCAGGUAACACUGAAUGGAGGCCCGAACCCACGCACGUUGAAAAGUGCGGGGAUGAGGUGUGGGUAGCGGAGAAAUUCCAAUCGAACCUGGAGAUAGCUGGUUCUCCCCGAAAUAGCUUUAGGGCUAGCCUUAAGUGUAAGAGUCUUGGAGGUAGAGCACUGAUUGGACUAGGGGUCCUCAUCGGAUUACCGAAUUCAGUCAAACUCCGAAUGCCAAUGACUUAUCCUUAGGAGUCAGACUGCGAGUGAUAAGAUCCGUAGUCAAAAGGGAAACAGCCCAGACCGCCAGCUAAGGUCCCAAAGUGUGUAUUAAGUGGAAAAGGAUGUGGAGUUGCUUAGACAACUAGGAUGUUGGCUUAGAAGCAGCCACCAUUUAAAGAGUGCGUAAUAGCUCACUAGUCGAGUGACUCUGCGCCGAAAAUGUACCGGGGCUAAAUACACCACCGAAGCUGCGGAUUGAUACCAAUGGUAUCAGUGGUAGGGGAGCGUUCUAAGGACAGUGAAGUCAGACCGGAAGGACUGGUGGAGUGCUUAGAAGUGAGAAUGCCGGUAUGAGUAGCGAAAGACGGGUGAGAAUCCCGUCCACCGAAUGCCUAAGGUUUCCUGAGGAAGGCUCGUCCGCUCAGGGUUAGUCAGGACCUAAGCCGAGGCCGACAGGCGUAGGCGAUGGACAACAGGUUGAUAUUCCUGUACCACCUCUUUAUCGUUUGAGCAAUGGAGGGACGCAGAAGGAUAGAAGAAGCGUGCGAUUGGUUGUGCACGUCCAAGCAGUUAGGCUGAUAAGUAGGCAAAUCCGCUUAUCGCAAAGGCUGAGCUGUGAUGGGGAAGCUCCUUAUGGAGCGAAGUCUUUGAUUCCCCGCUGCCAAGAAAAGCUUCUAGCGAGAUAAAAGGUGCCUGUACCGCAAACCGACACAGGUAGGCGAGGAGAGAAUCCUAAGGUGUGCGAGAGAACUCUGGUUAAGGAACUCGGCAAAAUGACCCCGUAACUUCGGGAGAAGGGGUGCUUUCUUAACGGAAAGCCGCAGUGAAUAGGCCCAAGCGACUGUUUAGCAAAAACACAGCUCUCUGCGAAGCCGUAAGGCGAAGUAUAGGGGGUGACACCUGCCCGGUGCUGGAAGGUUAAGGAGAGGGGUUAGCGUAAGCGAAGCUCUGAACUGAAGCCCCAGUAAACGGCGGCCGUAACUAUAACGGUCCUAAGGUAGCGAAAUUCCUUGUCGGGUAAGUUCCGACCCGCACGAAAGGUGUAACGAUUUGGGCACUGUCUCAACCAGAGACUCGGUGAAAUUAUAGUACCUGUGAAGAUGCAGGUUACCCGCGACAGGACGGAAAGACCCCGUGGAGCUUUACUGUAGCCUGAUAUUGAAUUUUGGUACAGUUUGUACAGGAUAGGCGGGAGCCAUUGAAACCGGAGCGCUAGCUUCGGUGGAGGCGCUGGUGGGAUACCGCCCUGACUGUAUUGAAAUUCUAACCUACGGGUCUUAUCGACCCGGGAGACAGUGUCAGGUGGGCAGUUUGACUGGGGCGGUCGCCUCCUAAAGUGUAACGGAGGCGCCCAAAGGUUCCCUCAGAAUGGUUGGAAAUCAUUCGUAGAGUGCAAAGGCAUAAGGGAGCUUGACUGCGAGACCUACAAGUCGAGCAGGGACGAAAGUCGGGCUUAGUGAUCCGGUGGUUCCGCAUGGAAGGGCCAUCGCUCAACGGAUAAAAGCUACCCCGGGGAUAACAGGCUUAUCUCCCCCAAGAGUCCACAUCGACGGGGAGGUUUGGCACCUCGAUGUCGGCUCAUCGCAUCCUGGGGCUGUAGUCGGUCCCAAGGGUUGGGCUGUUCGCCCAUUAAAGCGGUACGCGAGCUGGGUUCAGAACGUCGUGAGACAGUUCGGUCCCUAUCCGUCGUGGGCGUAGGAAAUUUGAGAGGAGCUGUCCUUAGUACGAGAGGACCGGGAUGGACGCACCGCUGGUGUACCAGUUGUUCUGCCAAGGGCAUAGCUGGGUAGCUAUGUGCGGAAGGGAUAAGUGCUGAAAGCAUCUAAGCAUGAAGCCCCCCUCAAGAUGAGAUUUCCCAUAGCGUAAGCUAGUAAGAUCCCUGAAAGAUGAUCAGGUUGAUAGGUUCGAGGUGGAAGCAUGGUGACAUGUGGAGCUGACGAAUACUAAUAGAUCGAGGACUUAACCAU